GGUCUCACUGUGUAGCAGAGGAUGACCUUGGAUGUAGGAUCCUCUUACCACCACCCUCCAGGGCGCUGGGAUUAUAGGCCUGUGCCACCACACCCAGCUCUAGGCA
This is a long non-coding RNA of Peromyscus leucopus (white-footed mouse), 106 nucleotides long. RefSeq lists it as uncharacterized. The transcript is spliced from 3 exons. NCBI's taxonomy places the organism in Eukaryota, Metazoa, Chordata, Mammalia, Rodentia, Cricetidae. The record is from RefSeq and is a predicted model, not a curated record.